RNAcentral lists this transfer RNA (74 nucleotides) under Muiribacterium halophilum (SeqCode). RNAcentral's name for it is "bacterium BM706 tRNA-Gln". It matches the Rfam family "tRNA". Rfam says of the family: Transfer RNA (tRNA) molecules are approximately 80 nucleotides in length. Their secondary structure includes four short double-helical elements and three loops (D, anti-codon, and T loops). Lineage: Bacteria; Candidatus Muiribacteriota; Muiribacteriia (SeqCode); Muiribacteriaceae (SeqCode). The record is from RNAcentral.
UGGGAUGUAGUACAAUGGCAGUGCCGCGGACUCUGGAUCCGUUUAUGAAGGUUCGAAUCCUUCCAUCCCAGCCA